CAGCCGCCGCGGUAAUACGAAGGGGGCAAGCGUUGUUCGGAUUUACUGGGCGUAAAGGGCGCGUAGGCGGUUUCUUAAGUCUGAUGUGAAAGCCCCCGGCUUAACCGGGGAGGGUCGUUGGAAACUGGGAGACUUAGAGUGCAGAAGAGGAGAGUGGAAUUCCAUGUGUAGCGGUGAAAUGCGUAGAUAUAUGGAGGAACACCAGUGGCGAAGGCGACUCUCUGGUCUGUAACUGACGCUGAGGCGCGAAAGCGUGGGAAGCAAACAGGAUUAGAUACCCCCGUAGUCCCUGUCUCUUUAC
Molecule: ribosomal RNA, 301 nt
Filed under: uncultured bacterium
Lineage: Bacteria
Description: partial 16S ribosomal RNA
Rfam family: Bacterial small subunit ribosomal RNA
Source: RNAcentral